RNAcentral lists this ribosomal RNA (443 nucleotides) under Streptomyces sp. HVXM-17-8. Its description in RNAcentral is "bacterial SSU rRNA". It matches the Rfam family "Bacterial small subunit ribosomal RNA", at positions 54 to 514 of the family's 1533-position model. Lineage: Bacteria; Bacillati; Actinomycetota; Actinomycetes; Kitasatosporales; Streptomycetaceae. The record is from RNAcentral.
CAUGCAAGUCGAACGAUGAAGCCCUUCGGGGUGGAUUAGUGGCGAACGGGUGAGUAACACGUGGGCAAUCUGCCCUGCACUCUGGGACAAGCCCUGGAAACGGGGUCUAAUACCGGAUAUGACUGUCUCGGGCAUCCGGGACGGUGGAAAGCUCCGGCGGUGCAGGAUGGGCCCGCGGCCUAUCAGCUUGUUGGUGAGGUAACGGCUCACCAAGGCGACGACGGGUAGCCGGCCUGAGAGGGCGACCGGCCACACUGGGACUGAGACACGGCCCAGACUCCUACGGGAGGCAGCAGUGGGGAAUAUUGCACAAUGGGCGCAAGCCUGAUGCAGCGACGCCGCGUGAGGGAUGACGGCCUUCGGGUUGUAAACCUCUUUCAGCAGGGAAGAAGCGCAAGUGACGGUACCUGCAGAAGAAGCGCCGGCUAACUACGUGCCAGCAG